RNAcentral lists this ribosomal RNA (118 nucleotides) under Neotoma lepida (desert woodrat). The record is from RNAcentral. Lineage: Eukaryota; Metazoa; Chordata; Mammalia; Rodentia; Cricetidae.
GUCUAUGGCAGUACCACCCUGAAUGCGCUGGAUCUUGUCUGAUCUUGGAAGCUAAGAGGGUCGGGUCUGGUUAGUUCUUGGAUGUGAGAGUGCUUGAGAAUAUGGGGUGCUGUCGACU